UAUCAAAUAGGUACUAAACAUUUAAUACAUCAAAUUUUUAUAUAAUCUAAUUCACAACCAAAAUACCAAAACAUGAUCAUUAACUUGCAACAUAAACAUCCUAUAUACAUGCCAUAAGUAACCAACUAUUGAAAUUCAAAAUAUAACAAAUUUAAUGAUUGUAGGUGUGAGCUUCUCAUUGAUCCAAUCGACACGUUUCGGACGUUCAAAAUCUAUAGAAAGGUAAUAAUACGGGUAAGUAUAUAAAAUACUUAAUAAGCUCAUACACUAUACACAUUCACUUACCUCAAAUUCUUAUCAUAAAUAAAUUCAAUAUGAGAUACAAAUAAACCUAUCAAAAUUCAACCCACAUCAUCAAUAUAGAUAUAAUGCCUUGAGCUCAACCAUAUAAACAACCAUAAGUGUAAUACCCCCUACCCGUAUUCAUCGCCGAAAUAUAGUAUGAGGCAUUACCAGAUUUUACCGAAUUUUUUUUUCAAGAUCGAUUUAUCAUAUUCAUAAGAUAAUUUCAUCACAUACCAAAACCAAAAUUUGUUAGUCAUACCAAUGGCUAACCAUAAAUUCAUUUCACAUUAACAUCUAAUUUACUAGCUUAUACAUGCCAUUGAUUUCCAAAAUAAAGUUCCUUUAUGUACCGAGAUCUCAAGAUUGAUAGUGUGAUGUGUCUCCGACCAAAUCCGACCUCCGAGCUCUUAACUCUACAAACAGGGGAAAAAGAAAUAGGGUAAGCACUUUGUGCUUAGUAAGUUCAUGCAACAGGAAUUAUACUUACCAUACUUAUACAUCCAUCAUUUAAUAACACAAGCACACAUCCAAUUCACAUAAACAUAUACCUAUCACAUAAAAACUCAACCUCAUGCAAAUUCAUUACAAAGAUAAAUGAUUGAUGAGCUCAUCAAUUCCAUGAUUUCCAUUUCCUUUUUAUUUUUCCAUAUUUAUCCCAUUGAAUUACUUGGAAUUUCGAUGGAUUUUCAGAGGUACACUUUAGUGUACAAAUCCGGGUCCGUCAAUUCAUAUUCAUGUGCGCACAUUUCCAUUUCAGAGAGCACUCUCCCGCGAACCUCAUCCUUACAGCGGGAUUACCAGUCCAGGCUAAAUCCCCUGUAAUAUAAACUCAUAGAGUAUUGUCGGGAUUACCAGUCCAGGCUAAAUCCCCUGCAAUGACAAUUACUCUAAUGAGCUUGGAUCUAAAUUACCAGUCCAGGCUAAAUUCAGACCCUAAUUCGGAUUACCCGUCCGGGCUAAAUCCAUUUUCCACAUAUUCUUCGGGAGGGCUAUAUCAGAAUAGGAUCACCCGUCCGGGCUAGAUCCUUUUUACCGUCAAUUCCUUUUUUCAGAGAUCCAUCGAAUUUUUCCUUUCAUUCAACCGGGAUUUAUUUCCUCUUUUCAUCAAGAAUAUCAAUACUUCAUCAAUUAUCAUAUAUUAAACAUCCAAAUCAUAUUCACAUCAAUAACAAACAUUUCAAGCAUUUAUGAAUAUAAUUCAAGUUACAUGAACUUACCUCGACAAUUGUUCGUAAAAAAAAAUUUACUAAUCCCGAACUUUUUCUUUUCCUCGAUCUUGCUUCGUAUUUGAAUUUUCUGGAUCUAAAUAAAUAAAUUUAAUCAUUAAUAUAAUACAUUUCAUGUUCAUAUGUAACUUUCUCUACAAUUCCAUUAUUAUUUAUAGUGCAUUCAAAGCUGCCUCACUGAGUCACAGUCACUAAAUUAUUUAUAUCUUGAGAUACAGAACUCCAAAUUAAGAUCCGUUAAUUUUUCCUGAAACUAUACUCACAUAUCUUCUUACCAUAAAAAUUUCAGAAUUUUUGGUUUAGCCAAUAAGUACAGUUUAUUCUUUAAAGUUUCCCCUGUUUCACUGUAUGACAGUUCUGACCCCUCUUCACUUAAAAUUAAUUAUCUCACUGUACAGAGUCAGGAUGAUGCUUCCCUUUAUUUUCUCAGAAAAUAGACUCAUUAAGGAUUCUAAGCAUAUAAAUUAUAACUUAUAAUAAUUUUUUUACAAUUUUUAAUGAUUUUCCAAAGUCAGAACAGGGGAACCCGAAUUCAUUCUGACCUUGUCUCACAAAAUCUAUUAUAUCUCAUGAUUUACAAUUCCAUUGCUUACACCAUUUCUUUUAUAAGAAACUAGGCUCAAUAAGCUUUAAUUUCAUAUUUUAUUCAUCCUAUAAUUCGAUCUCUACAAUUUUUAGUGAUUUUUCAAAGUUAGAGUACUGCUUCUGUCCAAAACUGUUUUAGUGCAUGGUGUUAAUUACCAUUUUUCCCCUAAACUUUCAACAAUGAUAAUUUCGUCCCUGUUCAAUUAACCUCUCAAUUGAGCUGAUUUUUCUCAAUCAACACUUUAUUAUAUCACUUUAAACUACCUUAUAACCUUUGGAAAUCAGAAUUUCAGCACUAAACUUUAAUUCCAAACUUUUUCACAAUUAGGUCCUACAAAUCAAUUUCUAUUGGAAUUACCAAAUAAAAUCAUCUCAUAAACAAAUUAAAGCAUCAAUUUCAUCCUAUUUCCUCAUAAACUUCCAGCACAUAUUCAUAUCAACUUUCAAUAUCAUUCAUAAAAUCAAAAACUAAUGAAUUAAGUAAUAGGACCUAGUUGUAAAAGUCUUAGAAACGCAAAAAUUACAAGAAAAAGGCAAGAAUUAACUCACUUGGUGCAAAAAUUAUGAAAAACCAGCUUGAAGAAACCCUUAGGAUGUUUUUGGCUGAUGAGAGUGCAGAAAAUUAAAGAGAAAUCUAGAUAAUUCCACUUUAGUCCUAACUUUUAAAGCAAAUUUUGUAAUAUUCCAAUUUUACCCUUAUUUCUUCAAUUCUCCUGAUUUUUCUCAGCGUAUGCCGCCCAAAAUAUCUCCUUUUGGGGUUAUUUUCAAUUUAUGUCCCUCCUCAUUUCACAAUUGAGCUAUUUAAUCCCUCUAGUAACUUUUACAUUUUUUUCAAUUUAGUCCUUUUCACUUAAUUGACUACCCAAACAUUAAUAUUUUCUAACGAAAUUUUAAUACCAUAUUACUAACACUUCAUAAAUAUUUAUAAAAAUAUUUUUGACUCAGUUUUACGAGAUCGAAGUCUCGAUAUCUUAUUUUUACCUAAUUCAUUCAAUAAUUUCUUUUUCUAACUAACCACUUAAUCAAUAAAAUUUUUCUAUCGAUAUUUUCAUACGAUUUUUCCUAUCAUAUCAAUAUUCAUGCAAAAAAAUUAAAAUAAAUUUCUCUUUAAAUCGGAUUUGUGGUUACGAAACCACUAUUUCGAUAAUUUUGAAUUUGGGCCAUUACAAUAAGUAUUCUCAUUUCCAAGCAAACUAAUUUUGAUAUCAUAACCGAAAUAUAAUAGUUAUUUAGCCAAUCUCGAAUAGUAUUUCUCCAAGACUUAAAUAACAACCUUUCCAAUGAAAUUUCAUAGAAGACCUCAGUAUAAAAGUGAAAAUGAUAGUUUCUGGUUACCCCUUAGGGUUAAACCUACAUGAUAAAUUGCCUGGCUAGGGCUUCAUAUUCAUGUAUUCUCGAGUUCACAACAUAUGAAGGAACUCGGAACCUAAUCCCGUACUCUUGAGUCCACAACAUAUGCAAGAGCUCAGAACCUAAUCUUGUAUUCUCGAGUCUGCAACAUAUGCAGGAUCUUGAAACCUAUUCUUGUAUUCUUGGGUUCGCAACAUAUGUAGGAGCUCAGAACCAGGGCAAACUCACUAACCUACAUACGAGAAUUUACUAAUUUCAUCGGGAUACAUCUCAGAUUAUAACAUAGUUCAAUCCACCAACAACCAAUAUUAACAAUCUUAAUGUAAUAUAAAAACAUAAACGAAUAGAUUCAUAAUGUAUGAAUUUACUUGUCAAAAUGGUAACAGUUUAACUAUUAGAGACUAGCCGAAAAUUUUCCUUUUCAUCGUACGUCCUCCGAUUGUUGAGAUUCUUGAUCUAAAGUAUAAUUUAUUUAAUCAACCAAUCCAAAUAAUAUAUAACAGUAUAUAAAAAUCAUGUCCUAACUCAAUUUCAUCUAUACCAAAAUUCCUCAAGUUUUACAUUUCUCACAAUUUAGUCCCUAAACCAAAACUAUUAUAAUUUUCACAUUUGAGUUUCGAUUUUGAAAUCACUCUCAAUUUAAUUCUCCAACAGACCAUAUUAAGACAAAUUUUAGAAUUUUUUGUAUGUAUUUUGGUCUUACUGCAUUUUAGUCUCUAAUUUCAAAAUUAACAACUUUUACUUUACAAAUUAGUCCAUUAACAUAUCUAAGCUUCAAAACUAACCAAAUAACCACAAAAGUUUCAAGAAAAAAAUCAAUGGCAACUUUCACAAGCUUUAACAAUUUCACAAAAUAGUCCAUGAGCUAGCGAAAUCAAGCUCUCGGGAUUCCAAAAUCAUAAAAAUUACAAGAAAUAGACCAAAGUUCACUUUACCAAUUUAAGCUUUUAAGUUAGACGAGAGCUAGGGAUUGUUUCUCUCUACCUAUUCAGAUUUAAGGUUGAAGAUGACAACUAAAACUUUGUUUUUCUUUCUUUAUCUUUUUGUUUAAACAAAUUUUAUUAUGUUUUAAUUGAAUAACAUAUAAUGAAAAAUAUUUACAACACCAAUCAUCCAAACACUAUUAAAAAUGGUAUAUUUAUCAUUUAAACCCCUUAGCAACCCUUAAUUAUGUUUUUUAGUUAAUAGAAAUCAAUAAAGAUCAAUUUUUAUGUCUUUUACGAUUUAAUCCUUUUUCCUUAAUUAACUAGACAAACGACGAAAUUACCAGACCAAAACUUAAUACUACAUUUAAAUAACUUUGUAGAUAUUAAUAAAUAAUAUUUACGAACUCACACGUCAAAAUUGUGGUCCUGAAUCCAUUAUUUCUGAUGCCAAUGAAAACAGGCUAUUACAAUUUAGAUGCAAGUUUCAUUUUAUCCAAUAAAAACUAAUCUGUUAUGCUUUCUGGCCAUAUGCGGAUUAACUUUUAAUUCAAUUUCUAAUUUUUUUUUAUGAAUUUCCAAAGUUACUUUACUACUAUUGUCCCUAAACUAUUUUAGUGAGGUUGGUUAUAUCCAAAUUGCCCAAGAGACACAUCAAACACAUUUUCCUCAUUCACAUUUCAUAUUUAUUCACAUAUACCAAAUUAUAUUCAUUAGUCAUUCCAUGUCAACCAAACUUUUGUAUCACAUUAUUAGUUCAUACAAACCUUAUGAUAAAGGCUUACUAAUUCACCAAUUUUGGAAGCCACUUAUUUCGAACACUUUAAGUCAUGGAACUCAUACAUUUUCAUUACAUAAUAAAUUUGAUGCUUAUUAAACUAUUUUCAUAAUAGUCACACAAAUUCAUUAUUUUUCCUAAACAUUUUAGUGUAGGAAAAGUAAGAGUAUCCAAGGGAACUUGCCUCUUCAAUGAAUAGUAUUAAAAUCCAAGCUCCCCACUUAGAUCCAACCUCAACCAAGAUUGAAACUCCAUUUCUCAAUAUUUCCUCAUUUCCAUACACAUAAAAUUCAACCAAAAUUAACACAAGAUUUUUCUAAGAUUUCACAUGGUAAGCAAUAUCUAAUAACAAGCUAAAAGGGUUAGAAACACCAUUUUUUACCUCAUUGAAGCUUUC
This 5544-nucleotide long non-coding RNA is filed under the name Gossypium barbadense (sea-island cotton). Its description in RNAcentral is "long non-coding RNA (GBAR_LNC021719)". Lineage: Eukaryota; Viridiplantae; Streptophyta; Magnoliopsida; Malvales; Malvaceae. The record is from RNAcentral.